UAGAGUUUGAUCAUGGCUCAGAUUGAACGCUGGCGGCAGGCCUAACACAUGCAAGUCGAGCGGUAGAGAGAAGCUUGCUUCUCUUGAGAGCGGCGGACGGGUGAGUAAUGCCUAGGAAUCUGCCUGGUAGUGGGGGAUAACGUUCGGAAACGGACGCUAAUACCGCAUACGUCCUACGGGAGAAAGCAGGGGACCUUCGGGCCUUGCGCUAUCAGAUGAGCCUAGGUCGGAUUAGCUAGUUGGUGGGGUAAUGGCUCACCAAGGCGACGAUCCGUAACUGGUCUGAGAGGAUGAUCAGUCACACUGGAACUGAGACAUGGUCCAGACUCCUACGGGAGGCAGCAGUGGGGAAUAUUGGACAAUGGGCGAAAGCCUGAUCCAGCCAUGCCGCGUGUGUGAAGAAGGUCUUCGGAUUGUAAAGCACUUUAAGUUGGGAGGAAGGGUUGUAGAUUAAUACUCUGCAAUUUUGACGUUACCGACAGAAUAAGCACCGGCUAACUCUGUGCCAGCAGCCGCGGUAAUACAGAGGGUGCAAGCGUUAAUCGGAAUUACUGGGCGUAAAGCGCGCGUAGGUGGUUUGUUAAGUUGGAUGUGAAAUCCCCGGGCUCAACCUGGGAACUGCAUUCAAAACUGACUGACUAGAGUAUGGUAGAGGGUGGUGGAAUUUCCUGUGUAGCGGUGAAAUGCGUAGAUAUAGGAAGGAACACCAGUGGCGAAGGCGACCACCUGGACUAA
Molecule: ribosomal RNA, 735 nt
Filed under: uncultured bacterium
Lineage: Bacteria
Description: bacterial SSU rRNA
Rfam family: Bacterial small subunit ribosomal RNA
Source: RNAcentral